AAGACAUUUAUCUUAAGCAUGGAAGUGUUCAUAUAUUAUAAUUGUAUCAGGACUAUAUGGUUAGAAAUUUGUUAUUGACGUCUAAGAUUGUAUGAAGUCUUGUGUUUUACUUUGACGAUUGAACAAUUAGUUUCAUUAUUUUGUAACUCAUGUAUGAAGCUUGUUCCCAUGCCAAUAUUUUGUUAAACUAUAGAGCCAUUGCUCUUGACUCUAAAAUUUCAGGCAUAUGAUUGUUUUUACUUAACACUGUAGAGAGAAAAGAACUAUUUCUUCUGAAUCUUCACGUGGACCGAGUUUUAUUAAACUUUUAAGAUGGGGUUUCAUUGAAAUCUAUGUUCUUGUUUUACCUCACAUAUAAAAAAGAAGAUGUGGUAUGAUUGCCAAUAAGACAACUCUCCACGAGAGACCAAAAUGACACAGAAAUUAACAAAUAUAGGUCAUCGUACGCGGGCCUUCAACCAUGAGCAAAAACCAUACACCGCAUAGUCAGCCAUAAAAGGCCCGGAUUUGACAAUGUAAAACAUUUCAAACGAAAAAACUAUUGCCUUAUAUAAAUAAAAAAUUGUACAUAAAACAAAUAUGUAACACAUAAACAAACGACAAC
RNAcentral lists this long non-coding RNA (604 nucleotides) under Mytilus galloprovincialis (Mediterranean mussel). The record is from RNAcentral. Lineage: Eukaryota; Metazoa; Mollusca; Bivalvia; Mytilida; Mytilidae.